CCUACGGGAGGCAGCAGUGAGGAAUAUUGGUCAAUGGACGUGAGUCUGAACCAGCCAAGUAGCGUGAAGGAUGACUGCCCUAUGGGUUGUAAACUUCUUUUAUAUGGGAAUAAAAUGCUCCACGUGUGGGGUUUUGUAUGUACCAUAUGAAUAAGGAUCGGCUAACUCCGUGCCAGCAGCCGCGGUAAUACGGAGGAUCCGAGCGUUAUCCGGAUUUAUUGGGUUUAAAGGGUGCGUAGGCGGCUUGUUAAGUCAGUUGUGAAAGUUUGCGGCUCAACCGUAGAAUUGCAGUUGAAACUGGCAGUCUUGAGUACGGUAGAGGUAGGCGGAAUGCGUGGUGUAGCGGUGAAAUGCUUAGAUAUCACGAAGAACUCCGAUUGCGAAGGCAGCUCACUGGACUGCGACUGACACUGAGGCUCGAAAGUGUGGGUAUCAAACAGGAUUAGAUACCCUAGUAGUC
RNAcentral lists this ribosomal RNA (460 nucleotides) under uncultured bacterium. Its description in RNAcentral is "partial 16S ribosomal RNA". It matches the Rfam family "Bacterial small subunit ribosomal RNA", at positions 338 to 795 of the family's 1533-position model. The record is from RNAcentral.